RNAcentral lists this transfer RNA (67 nucleotides) under Taterillus emini (Harrington's gerbil). RNAcentral describes it as "tRNA-Lys". The record is from RNAcentral. Lineage: Eukaryota; Metazoa; Chordata; Mammalia; Rodentia; Muridae.
CACUAUGAAGCUUAAUGCGUUAACCUUUUAAGUUAAAGUCUGAAAAUUAGUAGAUUUUCCAUAGUGG